GACGAACGCUGGCGGCGUGCUUAACACAUGCAAGUCGAACGGAAAGGCCCUGCUUUUGUGGUGUGCUCGAGUGGCGAACGGGUGAGUAACAGGUGAGUAACCUGCUCUUGACUUUGGGAUAACUUCAGGAAACUGGGGCUAAUAUCGUAUAGGAUCUCCUGCUGCAUUGUGGGGGUUGGAAAUUUUCGGCGGGUGGGGAUGGACUGGCGGCUUAUGAGCUUGUUGGUUGGGGAGUGGUUGACCAAGGCUUUGACGGGUAGCCGGCCUGAGAGGGUGACCGGCCACAUGGGGACUGAGAUACGGCGCAGACUCCUACGGGAGGCAGCAGUGGGGAAUCUUGCACAAUGGGCGGAAGCCUGAUGCAGCAACGCCGCGUGCGGGAUGACGGCCUUCGGGUUGUAAACCGCUUUCGCCUGUGACGAAGCGUGAGUGACGGUAAUGGGUAAAGAAGCACCGGCUAACUACGUG
This 468-nucleotide ribosomal RNA is filed under the name uncultured bacterium. Its description in RNAcentral is "partial 16S ribosomal RNA". It matches the Rfam family "Bacterial small subunit ribosomal RNA", at positions 28 to 507 of the family's 1533-position model. The record is from RNAcentral.